GUCCUUUUAGUCCCUCUAGUUAUCAUCCAAUUAUCACAUUUUAUUCAUUUUGGGGGCAGAUUAAAGGUUGUAUCAGCGAUGGCGGGGUAUCUGUGAUGGC
This is a long non-coding RNA of Alosa sapidissima (American shad), 100 nucleotides long. RefSeq lists it as uncharacterized. The record is from RefSeq and is a predicted model, not a curated record. The transcript has 3 exons. NCBI's taxonomy places the organism in Eukaryota, Metazoa, Chordata, Actinopteri, Clupeiformes, Clupeidae.